UACGGGGGGGAGCAAGCGUUGUUCGGAUUUACUGGGCGUAAAGGGCGCGUAGGCGGCGCAACAAGUCACUUGUGAAAUCUCCGGGCUUAACCCGGAGCGGCCAAGUGAUACUGUCGUGCUAGAGUGCGGAAGGGGCUACUGGAAUUCUCGGUGUAGCGGUGAAAUGCGUAGAUAUCGAGAGGAACACCUGCGGCGAAGGCGGGUAGCUGGGCCGACACUGACGCUGAUGCGCGAAAGCCAGGGGAGCGAACGGG
This 254-nucleotide ribosomal RNA is filed under the name uncultured bacterium. RNAcentral's name for it is "partial 16S ribosomal RNA". It matches the Rfam family "Bacterial small subunit ribosomal RNA", at positions 524 to 776 of the family's 1533-position model. The record is from RNAcentral.